Canis lupus familiaris (dog) is the source of this 1134-nucleotide long non-coding RNA. RefSeq lists it as uncharacterized. The record is from RefSeq and is a predicted model, not a curated record. Lineage: Eukaryota; Metazoa; Chordata; Mammalia; Carnivora; Canidae. The transcript is spliced from 2 exons.
GUUGUCAUGGUAACGGUGGGGUUCUGACUCAACCCCAUCCCCUCUUGCCCCACCCUAGCAUCACCUGGGAGUCCUUAAUCCCUUUUUAAUUAGCCAAACUGCCCCUCAAGACUUUACUCUACCCUCCAGCUCCUCCAGCCCCUCCAGCCCAGAAGAAAACACUGCCUGGGGACCUCCUCCACUUAUCCCUGGCAAGCCUCUGGACCCUGGCCUCUCACCACCAAAGAACUCCUGCCUGAACAGGAAAGGAAUUACGUUUGCCUGCACCAGCGUGGAAGCCUGUGUGUGUCUCCGGCAGACGCAGGGCCUCCAUCCUCACCACUUUCUUCAGAGAGGAACCAGAAGGACUGGGUCCGUGCUCAGCCUUGGCUCCCCAGAGCACCACCACCCCAGGUCCAUCCUCCCCUCCUCUCCAAAAGAGACCUGGAGAGCCAAGAGCCAGCCGCUCCAGCUCCUGAUCCUUGGGAAAAACCCGCCCAACCAUCCCCUCGGCCUCAGCCCUGAGGAGGGCCGCUGCUGCAGUCUUGUCUGUGGACAGGGUGGGGACGCUUCCUCCAGCUAAAAGGUCAGGAGGAUGAAGCAGACGACGGUGCGACUCUGAAACCCACUCCCCAGCCGGCACAGUGCUCAGACAGGCAGAUGGAUGGACAGAUGGACAGACAGCUGCCAGCUGGGAGGCCAGGUCCCUGCAAAUGCUGCCCUCCACACGAGAGGGACACCCACCCCUCAGGGCAGAAGCUGCCGGAAUUCUGCUCCUCCCUCAGCUGCUCUCCCCUCCUGCCCAGUGAUGUCCCCCGAGUCCUCAGAGGAGUCAUCCAGAGCUUUCUCAGCACUUCCGGGGGCAGGUGGGCACUGUGGGCUCCCCGACAGCCUGGCUCCAGUUCACUCCUCCCUCCUCAGACAGGGCUGUUGGCAACCGAGAGUGGACGGAGGUCAGCCCCGAUCAGCCCGAUCGGGGCCGCCGCAAUCUCCACGCUGGUCCCUCAAUCUGCGCCUCAGAAGCCUCAGUUGGAAAGACAAUCACACAGUAACUCCUGUGACUUACGAGCCCCUUUGAGGAAGUGACUGGCUGCUUUAGGCCUCAGUUUCUUCACCAGUAAAAGAGGGUUACUACCACCCGCAUUUCCAAACAGA